RNAcentral lists this long non-coding RNA (580 nucleotides) under Rattus norvegicus (Norway rat). RNAcentral's name for it is "long non-coding RNA NONRATT011533". Lineage: Eukaryota; Metazoa; Chordata; Mammalia; Rodentia; Muridae. The record is from RNAcentral.
UCUUUUUUUUUUUUUUUUAAGCUUGAAAUGGAUCAUAGUUUUGUGAAGAGUGAAUUGAAUUCGGAGCAGAUCUUAGUGAGAUUUAUAUUCACCUGGCAAAUCGGUGUUGUGGUGCUUUUAUUCCCUAUAUAUUAGCUCUGUACCUUAAGAAAAGUAACUUUCUAAAACUUGAUUUUGUUAUGAAUCAUGAACUUUGAAUAAGUAACCUAAGGUUUAUACCAGCCCAGUUUUAUAAUUCACAUUCAUGAUAUCGGUGCUUUUUAUUUCAACAGGUACACAAGUAAAGAGUAAAGUAUUUUUAUGAAACAAAUCUUCAAUCAAGUAUAACAUUUUGAUGCUUCGCAUCUAGACUCCUUGUGCUGUCACUAUGCCAGCAGCAACUGUAGAUCAUAGCCAAAGAAUUUGUGAAGUUUGGGCUUGUAACCUGGAUGAAGAGAUGAAGAAAAUCCGUCAAGUUAUCCGAAAAUAUAAUUAUGUUGCUAUGGACACCGAGUUUCCAGGCGUUGUUGCAAGGCCCAUUGGAGAAUUCAGAAGCAAUGCUGACUAUCAGUACCAACUGUUGCGAUGUAAUGUAGACUUG